AGUGAACGCUGGCGGUAGGCCUAACACAUGCAAGUCGAACGGCAGCACAGUAAGAGCUUGCUCUUACGGGUGGCGAGUGGCGGACGGGUGAGGAAUACAUCGGAAUCUACUUUUUCGUGGGGGAUAACGUAGGGAAACUUACGCUAAUACCGCAUACGACCUACGGGUGAAAGCAGGGGAUCUUCGGACCUUGCGCGAUUGAAUGAGCCGAUGUCGGAUUAGCUAGUUGGCGGGGUAAAGGCCCACCAAGGCGACGAUCCGUAGAUGGUCUGAGAGGAUGAUCAGCCACACUGGAACUGAGACACGGUCCAGACUCCUACGGGAGGCAGCAGUGGGGAAUAUUGGACAAUGGGCGCAAGCCUGAUCCAGCCAUGCCGCGUGGGUGAAGAAGGCCUUCGGGUUGUAAAGCCCUUUUGUUGGGAAAGAAAAGCAGCAGGUUAAUACCCCGCUGUUCUGACGGUACCCAAAGAAUAAGCACCGGCUAACUUCGUG
RNAcentral lists this ribosomal RNA (492 nucleotides) under uncultured bacterium. RNAcentral describes it as "partial 16S ribosomal RNA". It matches the Rfam family "Bacterial small subunit ribosomal RNA", at positions 29 to 507 of the family's 1533-position model. The record is from RNAcentral.